UACAGGGGUCUCAAGCGUUGUUCGGAUUCAUUGGGCGUAAAGGGUGCGUAGGCGGCGCGGUAAGUCGGGUGUGAAAUCUCGGAGCUUAACUUCGAAACUGCAUUCGAUACUGCCGUGCUUGAGGACUGGAGAGGAGACUGGAAUUUACGGUGUAGCGGUGAAAUGCGUAGAUAUCGUAAGGAAGACCAGUGGCGAAGGCGGGUCUCUGGACAGUUCCUGACGCUGAGGCACGAAGGCCAGGGGAGCAAACGGG
RNAcentral lists this ribosomal RNA (253 nucleotides) under uncultured bacterium. Its description in RNAcentral is "partial 16S ribosomal RNA". It matches the Rfam family "Bacterial small subunit ribosomal RNA", at positions 524 to 776 of the family's 1533-position model. The record is from RNAcentral.